GGUUGUAAACUGCUUUUGUNCGGNGCGAAAAGGCUCUCUCUAAUACAGGGGGCUCCUGACGGUACCGUAAGAAUAAGCACCGGCUAACUACGUGCCAGCAGCCGCGGUAAUACGUAGGGUGCCCGCCUUNUNCUUAAUUANUGGGCCNCAAGCCCGCGCAGGCNGUUUUNUAAGACAGGCGUGAAAUCCCCGGGCUCAACCUGGGAAUGGCGCUUGUGACUGCAAAGCUGGAGNGCGGNAGAGGGGGAUGGAAUUCCNCGUGUAGCAGUGAAAUGCGUAGAUAUGCGGGAGGAACCCCCNAUGGCGAAGGCAAUCCCCUGGGCCUGCACUGACGCUCAUGCACGAAACGGUGGGGGGCAAACAGGAUUAGAUACCCUGGUAGUCCNCGCCC
Molecule: ribosomal RNA, 391 nt
Filed under: uncultured bacterium
Lineage: Bacteria
Description: partial 16S ribosomal RNA
Rfam family: Bacterial small subunit ribosomal RNA
Source: RNAcentral